UACGGAGGGGGCUAGCGUUGGUUCGGAAUUACUGGGCGUAAAGCGCACGUAGGCGGCUUUGUAAGUUAGAGGUGGAAAGCCCGGGGCUCAACUCCGGAACUGCCAUUGAAACUGUUAGCUUGAGGAUGAGAGAGGUGAGUGGAAUUCCCAGUGUAGAGGUGAAAUUCGUAGAUAUUGGGAAGAACACCGGUGGCGAAGGCGGCUCACUGGCUCAUUACUGACGCUCGAGGCGCGAUAGCGUGGGGAUCAAACAGG
RNAcentral lists this ribosomal RNA (255 nucleotides) under uncultured bacterium. RNAcentral describes it as "partial 16S ribosomal RNA". It matches the Rfam family "Bacterial small subunit ribosomal RNA", at positions 524 to 776 of the family's 1533-position model. The record is from RNAcentral.